UACGGAGGGUGCAAGCGUUAUCCGGAUUCACUGGGUUUAAAGGGUGCGUAGGCGGGCAGGUAAGUCAGUGGUGAAAUCUCCGGGCUUAACUCGGAAACUGCCAUUGAUACUAUCUGUCUUGAAUACCGUGGAGGUCAGCGGAAUAUGUCAUGUAGCGGUGAAAUGCUUAGAUAUGACAUAGAACACCAAUUGCGAAGGCAGCUGGCUACACGAAUAUUGACACUGAUGCACGAAAGCGUGGGGAUCAAACAGG
Molecule: ribosomal RNA, 253 nt
Filed under: uncultured bacterium
Lineage: Bacteria
Description: partial 16S ribosomal RNA
Rfam family: Bacterial small subunit ribosomal RNA
Source: RNAcentral